ACAUAUAUGUAUGUGUGUAUAUAUAUAUAUAAGUUAGAGAUAUUAAAACCAUCUAAGGGAUAGAUGUAUCCACAGGCUCCUGGUAAUUACCUCAGUAUGUAUGGUCCUUGUUAUAAGGUAUACGGUAGUAGGUAAUUUAAAAGGUAAACCGUAGUUUAAUGUAUAUAAAGACGAUAAGACAAUGGAGAAAUAAAUAACAAUGAAAAGUGGAUCUUUGGUAUUAUAAAGCCAUUAUUUAAUUAA
Molecule: long non-coding RNA, 243 nt
Organism: Octopus sinensis (East Asian common octopus)
Lineage: Eukaryota; Metazoa; Mollusca; Cephalopoda; Octopoda; Octopodidae
Exons: 3
Source: RefSeq, a predicted model, not a curated record